UCCAUUCGCUGUAUUCAUAAUGGGCAACCUAAGCAGAUGGGUCUAAAGGAGUUGCUGCAGGUGACUACCUAAGUUUAGUCUCUUUAGUAUAAAUGCCCACCCACUGACCCACUUGCUCACUCAUGCGUAUAUGCUAUUUUAAUAUAUUUGUAGGUAAGCUAUUUCAAGAAAAUGUUUUUCUUGCUGGAAUUUGUUUUCCUUCAAGAAAUCAUUUUGUAAUUCCCGCUACUUGGGCUGCUGCUUUCAUCAGUUCUUACUUGACUUUAUAUGGUUUUUUAUGUGUUUUUGUUUUUACUGCACUGCUUCGUCUCCUUUAAUGUUAGUAUUAUUUGUAGAGGAACCACAUGAGGCACUUUUAGGUACUGACAGUUUGACUAGUAUCGUAGUGUCUUUGAAAAAAUUGACGAGGUGAUGCGUUGAAAUCAACUACAAUUUGGGAAGUGUUCUUGGAUAGUGAAAUUCUUAUGAUUUAUUUGAACGCAUUCAAAACUUAAAAGCAGAAAGGUAUUGUCCAAACUUUGAAGAGACCUCAAUGUUGAAAGAAAAAGAUAAACUGUCAAGAGGCCAUCAUCUGAAGAUAUAUGCCUUAUUAAAUUGCCAUUUGAGUAAUUCAAAAAUAUGUUGUUGAUCUAGUGUGGCAAACUUUUUGGUAAUUCAAAAAUACUUCACUUCCACGGGUUGGCAAACUUGUUGUUGACCUAUUAACUAUGUAAUUCUAUUCAGCAAAACGUUCAUUGGAAAAUAUAGAUUCUGAUUUCAGGGAUAAUGUUUUUGCUCUGCUUUCAUAUUACUCUGUUGGGACAUUUAAUGGCUUCAAAUCUUGGAUAGUUUGUCUUACCUCAUACCUAUCUGGUUACUGUUUUUUAUUUAAUUUUACUCUUUUGGUUUUAAAGCAUGCAGGGAACGGUUAAUAUUUGGUUCUUCACUCCUAAGUAUUGAUGCUUAACUCAUUCAUUGUUGUAUUGAGAUUAUGAUAUUCUAGCAUUAAGAUAUUGGUAGCUUGUCUUUGUGUACUGCUGUGUUAUUGUAACUAUUUUACUGGAUUUAUAUUUAUGUCACCACACUACAACUCAUAGUUCAUAUGUGUUUUCUUGUUGAAAUAGGCAUUGUUGUGGGCCUGGAUAAUUUGGAUGCAGUAAUACGUAUACUAAGAGAAUCUUCUAGCAAUGCAAUUGCAUCAUCUGGUCUAAGGAGCGUUGAUUGAACAAGAAGCAAAUGAGUUAAAAAGCAAGUUUUCCAGUCCAAGGCGUUCAAUGCUGGAGGAAAUGCUUUUCCAGAUGAUAGUGGCCACCUUGAUGACAUAGAUGUUAUUCCA
Non-coding RNA from Prunus avium (sweet cherry), 1315 nucleotides. The record is from RefSeq and is a predicted model, not a curated record. Lineage: Eukaryota; Viridiplantae; Streptophyta; Magnoliopsida; Rosales; Rosaceae.